GUUAUGACAGGUCAUGAUGCCCUCAGUCAGCAUGGCCUCAAGGUUGAGGAAACCACCAUGGGCCGGUCGGACUUUAGAGAAGGUGGGUGAGAUGGGAAUUUAACUAUCAAAGCCCCUUCUGACCGCUCCCCAUUGGGCUCCUCUCAGAUCCACCUUCCCGGCCAGUGCUGAGCGUAGAUCCCCCAUCGGGAGUGGUGAGCGAAGGGCUCACGCUGCUCAUCAGCUGCAUAGCCCCCAGUGAUGCCAGCGAUCGGAGGUUCCACUUCUACAAGGAUGGAGACGAGCUCGUUCCUGGGGACGCUGGGUCUGAGAUCAGCACCACAGAGCCCAGCACCGGCUCUAUGAACGUCUCUGUGCUCAGCAUCCCACGGGCCGGUCCCAACAACACCGGGGAAUUCACCUGCGGGUACGAGGAGAACGUGAGGGGGAGGUGGAUCCCGUCCCCCAGGAGCCAUGCUGUGACCGUGAACAUCACAGCGACAGCCUGGGCCCAAUCUAGAAACUUGCUGCCGGCAUGUGGGAUCCUCAUGGUUCCGGGCAUGGCUCUGGCUGCCCUCGUGUGCUACUGCAGGAGGAACAAGAGAGUUCCGGAGCCUUCGCAAUAUCUGAGGGGAUCUGAGCCCGGGGAAGGCGAUGGGGAACUGGACUCCAGGAGGUGCCAUGAGGAAUUGAAAUCCAGCAGUGUCAGAGUGGACCUACCAGAAGAGGGCUCUGAUGUGUACACACUCCUGACCUUCCCCUCCUCUGCAACGCCCUGAGCACCGGGGAUGGCGACUAGAGCAUUGGGAACAGAGGGGGUACUGCACUGCGAGGGGCUGCCCCGGCACAUCCAGGGAGCCACUCGGUGAGAGGCACGGAGGGAACAUGGAAAUCCAAAUCAGGGGCCCUUUAACAUUCAGGGCUCAGACACCCCAGCCUGGCCGCCUCUCCCUGUGGCCGAUCAUCCAACUGCCCUCAUACACACACGGACAGGGUCCCAUCUCCUCCAGCAGGGGGCAGCAGGGACACACACACACACACACACAGAAGGUCCCAUCUCCUCCAGCAGGGGGAAGAAUUGACACACACACAUGCACACGGAGAAGGUCCCAUCCCCUCUAGAAGGGGGUGAGAGGAACAUACACACACGCACACAAACACACACAUGCACACACAGAGUUCCUACCAUUCUUAACCUUUAUCACUGUCUCUUGCUUUUGUUGCAUUUGCUGUUCCAUUAACAUUCAUUCUCCAAGGACAGAGAAUAAACUCAAUUUCAAUUAGAAAGGCGUGACUGUU
This 1278-nucleotide long non-coding RNA is filed under the name Chrysemys picta bellii (western painted turtle). RNAcentral describes it as "lncRNA (ENSCPBG00000025727.1)". The record is from RNAcentral. Lineage: Eukaryota; Metazoa; Chordata; Testudines; Emydidae.